GGAAAGUAAAUUGCUGACAGUUGUUACCCCACUGAUUCCCAAGGUUGAUUUAGCUGAUAUGGCUAGCUAAGCAGAUGUCUUGCUCCAUGUUUGUUCCUCCCAAAGCUGUAUACUUGGUCAAAACCAGUAACUUUCCCUAGUAAUAAUGUUCUGCAGUCAAGGAUUUGAGAGAAUGUAAGGAGGACUCUUCUGGGUAAGAGUCAAUAGGAAUGCAUUUGUUUUUUGAGAGACUAUAAGAAGAGUUUCCUAUCUUCAGAGUAAGAUUGUUCCUUUCUC
RNAcentral lists this small RNA (276 nucleotides) under Pelodiscus sinensis (Chinese soft-shelled turtle). Its description in RNAcentral is "7SK RNA (ENSPSIG00000019441.1)". The stretch from base 1 to 173 matches the Rfam family "7SK RNA". Rfam says of the family: 7SK was discovered as an abundant small nuclear RNA in the mid-70s but a possible function has only recently been suggested. Two independent studies have found that 7SK RNA binds the CDK9/cyclin T complex (known as elongation factor P-TEFb). Lineage: Eukaryota; Metazoa; Chordata; Testudines; Trionychidae. The record is from Rfam by way of RNAcentral.